CAGGGACCAGCCUCCCUUACUGAAAUCUGUUCACCUCUGUCCCAGAGUUCAUGUCUCAUAUGCUAGGGCUAUGUCACGAGCAUAUGUUUGAAGUGCUGAUCUUUUGCAACAUAUUGGUGGAUAAGAAAAUAUGAUUCCAAGCAGUGAUUUUCCUCCAGACCUGCUAGAUGAACUCUGCCAGGUACCAUGUAGCUGCGUCAAUGUUCCGGACUGCUCUGCUGAGAACACUGAAACAGAAAAACAAGAAAAGAAGGGAAUGCUUUCUUAUGAAUAUAUACUUAAGAUCUUAAGGUCAUAAAAGUAACAUCUGAUUUUGGGAAACAAGCUGUGAUUAGAGAAAAACUCAGGAGCUGAAUGCAUAGAUUACAUAUAUCCCUUGACACCCAAAAAGGCAGAACAUUCUUUCAUGUCUUCUGCAGAAAACAAGGAAAGAAUGACAAUUUUUACUUCAGACAGAAAUGACAUUCCACUACAAUUCACCACCAUCCAAGCACAAAGCAUCCUACAAGAGAUUGAUCGUACAAGUGAAAUCUGAGAAACUGUAAAAGAUCAUAACAUUUUUGGAUCUGGUUUCCACUGGGCAUCAUAGUUUGAAACCCACUGAAGCUGAAUCCCUCACAACUCAAAAAGAAUAAAGAAACCCUGUUCCUCUCCCCUAAAUUCUGCCAUACAAAAAGUAUGAGAGUUCUGUAGAAGGAGCAGAAUGGACUCUACAUUGAAUUCUGCACUGAAGGCAAAGCAGCAUUACUUUUCAGAUCCGUUUUACUUCAAA
Zonotrichia albicollis (white-throated sparrow) is the source of this 772-nucleotide non-coding RNA. The record is from RefSeq and is a predicted model, not a curated record. Lineage: Eukaryota; Metazoa; Chordata; Aves; Passeriformes; Passerellidae.